This 298-nucleotide ribosomal RNA is filed under the name uncultured bacterium. RNAcentral's name for it is "partial 16S ribosomal RNA". It matches the Rfam family "Bacterial small subunit ribosomal RNA", at positions 128 to 441 of the family's 1533-position model. The record is from RNAcentral.
ACCCUUUGGCCUGGAAUAACACGAGGAAACUUGUGCUAAUACCGGAUAAGUCUUUACGGAGAAAGCUUUAUGCACCAUUGGAUGAGCCCGCACUUGAUUAGUUUGUUGGUAGGGUAAUGGCCUACCAAGACUAUGAUCAAUAGCUGAUUUGAGAGGAUGAUCAGCCACAUUGGGACUGAGACACGGCCCAAACUCCUACGGGAGGCAGCAGUGGGGAAUCUUGCACAAUGGAGGAAACUCUGAUGCAGCGAUGCCGCGUGAGUGAAGAAGGCCUUUGGGUUGUAAAGCUCUUUCGUCG